Molecule: transfer RNA, 74 nt
Filed under: Psychromonas hadalis
Lineage: Bacteria; Pseudomonadati; Pseudomonadota; Gammaproteobacteria; Alteromonadales; Psychromonadaceae
Also listed under: 6 other names
Description: tRNA-Cys
Rfam family: tRNA
About the family: Transfer RNA (tRNA) molecules are approximately 80 nucleotides in length. Their secondary structure includes four short double-helical elements and three loops (D, anti-codon, and T loops). Further hydrogen bonds mediate the characteristic L-shaped molecular structure. tRNAs have two regions of fundamental functional importance: the anti-codon, which is responsible for specific mRNA codon recognition, and the 3' end, to which the tRNAs corresponding amino acid is attached (by aminoacyl-tRNA synthetases). tRNAs cope with the degeneracy of the genetic code in two manners: having more than one tRNA (with a specific anti-codon) for a particular amino acid; and 'wobble' base-pairing, i.e. permitting non-standard base-pairing at the 3rd anti-codon position.
Source: RNAcentral
GGCCGGAUAGCAAAUCGGUUAUGCAGUGGAUUGCAAAUCCAUCUAGACCAGUUCGAUUCUGGUUCCGGCCUCCA